Molecule: ribosomal RNA, 482 nt
Filed under: uncultured bacterium
Lineage: Bacteria
Description: partial 16S ribosomal RNA
Rfam family: Bacterial small subunit ribosomal RNA
Source: RNAcentral
UUGAACGCUGGCGGCAUGCUUUACACAUGCAAGUCGAACGGCAGCGCGGGCUUCGGCCUGGCGGCGAGUGGCGAACGGGUGAGUAAUGCAUCGGAACGUGCCCAGUAGUGGGGGAUAGCCCGGCGAAAGCCGGAUUAAUACCGCAUACGACCUGAGGGUGAAAGCGGGGGACCGAAAGGCCUCGCGCUAUUGGAGCGGCCGAUGUCGGAUUAGCUAGUUGGUGGGGUAAAGGCUUACCAAGGCGACGAUCCGUAGCUGGUCUGAGAGGACGACCAGCCACACUGGGACUGAGACACGGCCCAGACUCCUACGGGAGGCAGCAGUGGGGAAUUUUGGACAAUGGGGGCAACCCUGAUCCAGCCAUGCCGCGUGCGGGAAGAAGGCCUUCGGGUUGUAAACCGCUUUUGUUCGGGAAGAAAUCCUCUGGGCUAAUACCCCGGGGGGAUGACGGUACCGGAAGAAUGAGCACCGGCUAACUACGU